RNAcentral lists this transfer RNA (66 nucleotides) under Lipotactes tripyrga. Its description in RNAcentral is "tRNA-Thr". It matches the Rfam family "tRNA". Rfam says of the family: Transfer RNA (tRNA) molecules are approximately 80 nucleotides in length. The record is from RNAcentral. Lineage: Eukaryota; Metazoa; Arthropoda; Insecta; Orthoptera; Tettigoniidae.
GUUCUAGUAGUUUAAUUUAAAACAUUGGUCUUGUAAAUCAAUAAUAAGAAAUACUCUUCUAAAACU